CACAUGCAAGUCGAGCGGUAGCACAGAGAGCUUGCUCUCGGGUGACGAGCGGCGGACGGGUGAGUAAUGUCUGGGAAACUGCCUGAUGGAGGGGGAUAACUACUGGAAACGGUAGCUAAUACCGCAUAACGUCGCAAGACCAAAGUGGGGGACCUUCGGGCCUCAUGCCAUCAGAUGUGCCCAGAUGGGAUUAGCUAGUAGGUGGGGUAACGGCUCACCUAGGCGACGAUCCCUAGCUGGUCUGAGAGGAUGACCAGCCACACUGGAACUGAGACACGGUCCAGACUCCUACGGGAGGCAGCAGUGGGGAAUAUUGCACAAUGGGCGCAAGCCUGAUGCAGCCAUGCCGCGUGUGUGAAGAAGGCCUUCGGGUUGUAAAGCACUUUCAGCGGGGAGGAAGGCGUUAAGGUUAAUAACCUUGGCGAUUGACGUUACCCGCAGAAGAAGCACCGGCUAACUCCGUGCCAGCAGCCGCGGUAAUACGGAGGGUGCAAGCGUUAAUCGGAAUUACUGGGCGUAAAGCGCACGCAGGCGGUCUGUCAAGUCGGAUGUGAAAUCCCCGGGCUCAACCUGGGAACUGCAUUCGAAACUGGCAGGCUAGAGUCUUGUAGAGGGGGGUAGAAUUCCAGGUGUAGCGGUGAAAUGCGUAGAGAUCUGGAGGAAUACCGGUGGCGAAGGCGGCCCCCUGGACAAAGACUGACGCUCAGGUGCGAAAGCGUGGGGAGCAAACAGGAUUAGAUACCCUGGUAGUCCACGCCGUAAACGAUGUCGAUUUGGAGGUUGUGCCCUUGAGGCGUGGCAUCCGGAGCUAACGCGUUAAAUCGACCGCCUGGGGAGUACGGCCGCAAGGUUAAAACUCAAAUGAAUUGACGGGGGCCCGCACAAGCGGUGGAGCAUGUGGUUUAAUUCGAUGCAACGCGAAGAACCUUACCUGGUCUUGACAUCCACAGAACUUUCCAGAGAUGGAUUGGUGCCUUCGGGAACUGUGAGACAGGUGCUGCAUGGCUGUCGUCAGCUCGUGUUGUGAAAUGUUGGGUUAAGUCCCGCAACGAGCGCAACCCUUAUCCUUUGUUGCCAGCGGUUCGGCCGGGAACUCAAAGGAGACUGCCAGUGAUAAACUGGAGGAAGGUGGGGAUGACGUCAAGUCAUCAUGGCCCUUACGACCAGGGCUACACACGUGCUACAAUGGCAUAUACAAAGAGAAGCGACCUCGCGAGAGCAAGCGGACCUCAUAAAGUAUGUCGUAGUCCGGAUUGGAGUCUGCAACUCGACUCCAUGAAGUCGGAAUCGCUAGUAAUCGUAGAUCAGAAUGCUACGGUGAAUACGUUCCCGGGCCUUGUACACACCGCCCGUCACACCAUGGGAGUGGGUUGCAAAAGAAGUAGGUAGCUUAACCUUCGGGAGGGCGCUUACCACUUUGUGAUUCAUGACUGGGGUGAAGUC
Molecule: ribosomal RNA, 1443 nt
Filed under: uncultured organism
Description: 16S ribosomal RNA
Rfam family: Bacterial small subunit ribosomal RNA
Source: RNAcentral